AUGGAGGCUUCCCGUGAGCAUAAUGCGAUUUCUCUUUCCACAUGGUUCUUUUGCACGGCCAUGCCUCCUCACAGCAGGCACCUGACGAUCCAGGGACCCUCGCCAGCCAAUUUACAUAAAGCGGGCUCCGUGUCUGACGUUGACUUGGCGACACAUGCAAACAGCGACUUAUCUUGAAAUGGAAAUCAGAGCCCUAAUGCAGGGAACCCGGGACGUGCUGCACCGGCUAAUGCUGACAGAGAUGAGUUUUUCCGCUCGUUGCGGUGAGCGAUGCUGCUGGGAGCUCUGCUUGAGUCGAGAGUCAGGUCAAUAAUCAGAGUGCACUGCAGCCAUUGCUCCAAAGCCACACUGAUCAAGAGCGCCGAAGCACCGAGGCUUCAUUUCCUUCAUUUCAGCACCAACUUGUGUCCUUAAUGAUGAGCGAAAGAAAUCAAAACAUUUUUCUGGUAUAUAACUGGGUAAUAGAACUGACUAAGUGUAGCAUGCUUUCUUAAUGAAAAAGAGCUGUUAUAUAACAAUAAUACUGUUAUAACUGAUGUAAUUAAUGAGCUUUGGCUGAUUAACUCUGUAUUUACACAAAACAUUAUGCAAUUGGUUGCAUAUUCAUACUGCAUGUGGCAAAAAGACAUUAUCAAAGGCUAAAUAAAAGCUGGU
RNAcentral lists this long non-coding RNA (654 nucleotides) under Scleropages formosus (Asian bonytongue). RNAcentral's name for it is "lncRNA (ENSSFOG00015032401.1)". Lineage: Eukaryota; Metazoa; Chordata; Actinopteri; Osteoglossiformes; Osteoglossidae. The record is from RNAcentral.